GGCGGCAUGCCUUACACAUGCAAGUCGAACGGUAACAGGUUAAGCUGACGAGUGGCGAACGGGUGAGUAAUAUAUCGGAACGUGCCCAGUAGUGGGGGAUAGCCCGGCGAAAGCCGGAUUAAUACCGCAUACGACCUACGGGUGAAAGGGGGGGAUCGCAAGACCUCUCGCUAUUGGAGCGGCCGAUAUCAGAUUAGCUAGUUGGUGGGGUAAAAGCCUACCAAGGCGACGAUCUGUAGCUGGUCUGAGAGGACGACCAGCCACACUGGGACUGAGGCACGGCCCAGACUCCUACGGGAGGCAGCAGUGGGGAAUUUUGGACAAUGGGCGCAAGCCUGAUCCAGCCAUGCCGCGUGCGGGAAGAAGGCCUUCGGGUUGUAAACCGCUUUUGUCAGGGAAGAAAUCUUUUGGGUUAAUACCUCGGAAGGAUGACGGUACCUGAAGAAUAAGCACCGGCUAACUACGUGCCAGCAGCCGCGGUAAUACGUAGGGUGCAAGCGUUAAUCGGAAUUACUGGGCGUAAAGCGUGCGCAGGCGGU
Molecule: ribosomal RNA, 539 nt
Filed under: uncultured beta proteobacterium
Lineage: Bacteria; Pseudomonadati; Pseudomonadota; Betaproteobacteria
Description: bacterial SSU rRNA
Rfam family: Bacterial small subunit ribosomal RNA
Source: RNAcentral